This 3468-nucleotide small RNA is filed under the name Pongo abelii (Sumatran orangutan). RNAcentral's name for it is "retained intron". Lineage: Eukaryota; Metazoa; Chordata; Mammalia; Primates; Hominidae. The record is from RNAcentral.
AGUGCUGGCGGCAGGGAGCUCCGCGGACAGACUUGCAAGAGACCCCUGCUCCUUGUUGGAAAGUUGUCCCAAGAUGAAGGCCUAGACCCAGUCACGGAGACUUUUGGAUGCAGCCUUUAACGAAGGACGCAGGCAUGAGCCUGUCCUCUGUGACGCUGGCCAGCGCCCUACAGGUCAAGGGUGAAGCUCUGUCUGAGGAGGAAAUCUGGUCCCUCCUGUUCCUGGCCGCGGAGCAGCUCCUGGAAGACCUCCGCAACGAUUCCUCGGACUAUGUGGUCUGCCCCUGGUCAGCCCUGCUUUCUGCGGCUGGAAGCCUUUCUUUCCAAGGCCAUGUUUCUCACAUAGAGGCUGCUCCUUUCAAGGCCCCUGAACUGCUACAGGGACAGAGUGAGGAUGAGCAGCCUGAUGUGUCUCAGAUGCACGUUUAUUCUUUAGGAAUGACCCUCUACUGGUCAGCAGGGUUUCAUGUUCCGCCACAUCAGCCCCUGCAGCUCCAUGAGCCCCUGCACUCCAUCCUGCUGACCAUGUGUGAAGACCAGCCUCACAGGCGGUGCACGUUGCAGUCGGUUCUGGAAGCUUGUCGGAUUCAUGAGAAAGAAGUGUCUGUCUACCCAGCCCCUGCUGGUCUCCACAUCAGAAGGCUGGUUGGCUUGGUUCUGGGUACCAUUUCUGAGGUGGAGAAAAGAGUUGUGGAGGAAAGCUCCUCUGUGCAGCAGAACAGAAGCUACCUGCUCAGGAAGAGACUGCAUGGGACAAGCAGCGAGAGCCCAGUGGCACAGGCCCCAGAGUGUCUGCAUCCUUGCAGAGUUUCAGAAAGAAGCACGGAGACCCAGAGCUCACCAGAGCCCCAUUGGAACACCUUGACACACAGUCACUGCAGCCUCCUUGUUAACCGCACUCUUCCAGGAGCAGAUCCCCAGGACCAGCAGGAGGGCCGGAGGCUCAGCUCUGGAUCUGUGCACUCAGCAGCAGACAGCUCAUGGCCAACAACUCCUUCUCAAAGGGGUUUUCUGCAAAGAAGGAGCAAGUUUUCCAGGCCAGAGUUCAUCCUGUUGGCUGGAGAGGCCCCGAUGACACUACAUCUACCGGGAUCGGUUGUGACCAAAAAAGGGAAAUCCUAUUUGGCUCUCAGGGACCUCUGUGUGGUCCUGCUGAACGGGCAGCACCUGGAGGUAAAAUGUGAUGUUGAAUCAACAGUGGGAGCUGUCUUCAAUGCCGUGACGUCCUUUGCCAACCUCGAGGAACUCACCUACUUUGGCUUGGCGUAUAUGAAACGUGGAGAGUAAGCCAUACUUUCACGUUGAAGAUUACAUCCCAGCGAGUCUGAUCGAGAGGAUGACCGCUCUACAGGUCCAAGUCGAAGUCUCAGAGAUGCACCGGCUCAGCUCUGCACUGUGGGGAGAGGAUGCUGAGCUGGAGUUCUUGAGGGUCACUCAGCAGCUCCCAGAAUAUGGUGUGCUGGUUCACCAAGUAUUCUCAGAGAAGAGGAGGCCGGAAGAGGAGAUGGCCCUGGGGAUCUGUGCCAAGGGUGUCAUAGUAUAUGAAGUGAAAAACAACAGCAGAAUUGCAACUUUACGGUUUCAGUGGAGAGAAACCAGGAAGAUUUCUACUUAUCAAAAAAAGUUCACCAUCACAAGCAGUGUCACUGGGAAGAAGCACACAUUUGUCACAGAUUCAGCCAAGACCAGUAAAUACUUACUGGACCUCUGCUCAGCCCAGCAUGGGUUUAAUGCACAGAUGGGCUCUGGGCAGCCUUCCCAUGUUUUAUUUGACCAUGAUAAGUUUGUGCAAACGGCCAAUUUGAGUCCUGCAUACCAGGCCCAGUCUAAGCCUCUCAUUUGGAUUCAGAGAUUGUCAUGCUCAGAAAACGAGUUGUUUGCAUCCAGGCUUCAGGAUGCUGCAGGAGGCCUGUUGAGCACAUCAUUGGAUAACUUCAACGUGGACGGCAGCAAGGAGGCUGGACCAGAAGGCAUCGGGCGCAGCCCCUGCACUGGCCGGGAGCAGCUGAAGAGUGCCUGUGUGAUCCAGAGGCCAAUGACCUGGGACUCUCUGUCUGGGCCACCUGUUCAGAGCAUGCAUGCAGGGUCAAAGAAUAAUAGGAGGAAGAGCUUUACAGCUGAACCGGGCCAAGAAAUCGUGUGUGUGACACUGAAACGUGACCCACAUCGUGGUUUUGGUUUUGUCAUUAAUGAGGGAGAGUAUUCAGGCCAAGCUGACCCUGGCAUUUUUAUAUCUUCUAUUAUACCUGGAGGACCAGCAGAAAAAGCAAAAACGAUCAAACCAGGAGGGCAGAUACUAGCCCUGAAUCACAUCAGUCUGGAGGGCUUCACAUUCAACAUGGCUGUUAGGAUGAUCCAGAGUUCCCCUGAAAACAUAGAAUUAAUUAUUUCUCAGUCAAAAGGUGUUGGUGGAAAUAACCCAGAUGAAGAAAAGAAUAGCACAGCCAAUUCUGGGGUCUCCUCUACAGACAUCCUGAGCUUCGGGUACCAGGGAAGUUUGUUGUCACACACACAAGACCAGGACAGAAAUAUUGAAGAACUAGACAUGGCUGGGGUGCAGAGCUUAGAGCCCAGGCUGAGACAUCAGCUUUCUUUUCUGCCAUUGAAGGGUGCUGGUUCUUCUUGUCCUCCAACACCUCCGGAAAUUGGUGCUGGUGAAAUCUACUUUGUGGAACUGGUUAAAGAAGAUGGGACACUUGGAUUCAGCGUAACUGUAAGAGUUUUUAGGAGAGCUUGAAAAGCAGUUAACAAGAUGUCCGUCUAGAACCUGGUGGCCGUUCCACCCAGAUGGCAACCUCUGACAGUGUGCUUAGUUUGCACAAAUGUAAAGGGUGAAUAAAAAAACCAAUGGGGGCCUGCACUGGGGGAUGAGUUCAGAGACAAACAGAGGUACUGGGGAACCUCAGGCUGAGCAGGGCAUGCACUAGGGGACUCCAACCUCAUGAGGAGGCAGUGUAGGCAGAGUUGGGAGAUGUGUCCUGACUCUGAGGUCAAGGUGGACUGCAGAGAGAGAGAGAAGCAUAUUGGGGCUUCAGGGACACAAGCUAAAGGUGAGAAGGGCAGUCCACUGUCAUCUGGCCAAGGAUAGGUGGGGCAGUCCACUGUCAUCCAGCACAGGAUCAGUGUGGAGCCUCUUGCUCAGACAUCCCAGGGCCAGGCCUCCAUCAGGACUGACACUUUGCAUUUGGUUUCUGAACUCUGCCUGGUAGACUCUUGUGAAAGGAGAUUACCCAUAUAACUGUGUUUACCCAAGGGGUAGGGGAAUGGCACACACAAAGCUGGUGAAAAUCCAGAGGUCAGAGAUUGGAAGGUGCUGCUUUUAUUACUGAGUAUUGAAAGUGAUCCAUUACCAGCUGGGCUCGGUGACUCAUGACUGUAAUCCCAGAACUUUGGGAGACCAAGGCGGGUAGAUCACAAGGUCAGGAGAUUGAGACUAUCCUGGCUAACACGGUGAAACCCUGUCUCUACU